UCGUCGUCGACUAGCGUGUCGUCUAGCUCGUGUCGUGAGAUGUUGGGUUAAGUCCCGCAACGAGCGCAACCCUUGUCACUAGUUGCCAUCAUUUGGUUGGGCACUCUAGUGAGACUGCCGGUGACAAACCGGAGGAAGGUGGGGAUGACGUCAAGUCCUCAUGGCCCUUAUGGGUAGGGCUUCACACGUCAUACAAUGGUCGGUACAGAGGGUUGCCAAGCCGCGAGGUGGAGCCAAUCCCUUAAAGCCGAUCGUAGUCCGGAUCGUAGUCUGCAACUCGACUACGUGAAGUCGGAAUCGCUAGUAAUCGCAGAUCAGCAUGCUGCGGUGAAUACGUUCCCGGGUCUU
RNAcentral lists this ribosomal RNA (348 nucleotides) under uncultured Thauera sp. RNAcentral's name for it is "bacterial SSU rRNA". It matches the Rfam family "Bacterial small subunit ribosomal RNA", at positions 1035 to 1382 of the family's 1533-position model. The record is from RNAcentral. Lineage: Bacteria; Pseudomonadati; Pseudomonadota; Betaproteobacteria; Rhodocyclales; Zoogloeaceae.